Molecule: ribosomal RNA, 165 nt
Filed under: uncultured bacterium
Lineage: Bacteria
Description: partial 16S rRNA
Rfam family: Bacterial small subunit ribosomal RNA
Source: RNAcentral
UAGGGAAUCUUCGGCAAUGGACGAAAGUCUGACCGAGCAACGCCGCGUGAGUGAAGAAGGUUUUCGGAUCGUAAAACUCUGUUGGUAGAGAAGAACGUUGGUGAGAGUGGAAAGCUCAUCAAGUGACGGUAACUACCCAAAAAGGGACGGCUAACUACGUGCCAG